UACGUAGGUGGCGAGCGUUGUCCGGAAUUACUGGGUGUAAAGGGCGUGUAGGCGGGAAGAUAAGUCAGAUGUGAAAUUCCACAGCUUAACUGUGGCGCUGCAUCUGAAACUAUUUUUCUUGAGUGCUGGAGAGGAAAGCGGAAUUCCUAGUGUAGCGGUGAAAUGCGUAGAUAUUAGGAGGAACACCAGUGGCGAAGGCGGCUUUCUGGACAGUAACUGACGCUGAGGCGCGAAAGCGUGGGGAGCAAACAGG
This 253-nucleotide ribosomal RNA is filed under the name uncultured bacterium. RNAcentral's name for it is "partial 16S ribosomal RNA". It matches the Rfam family "Bacterial small subunit ribosomal RNA", at positions 524 to 776 of the family's 1533-position model. The record is from RNAcentral.